This is a long non-coding RNA of Rhododendron vialii, 2938 nucleotides long. RefSeq lists it as uncharacterized. The transcript has 2 exons. The record is from RefSeq and is a predicted model, not a curated record. Lineage: Eukaryota; Viridiplantae; Streptophyta; Magnoliopsida; Ericales; Ericaceae.
UUGACAAAAGCAUGAAUCAUGAUCAAUAUCCUUUGAAUCAAGUACUCAUUGAUACAUGAUCGCAGACGAUAAGUGUGAAUUUAUUUUUGUGAAAAUAGAAUUGGUCACACUUUAUCAAAUCCCUUUCUGUGGAGCGAGGUCUGAUGCGUGCAUUUUUGGAUUGCAACUUGAGUUCGUCAAAUUGUGAUCUCAUUUCGAUGAAUAUCCACGAUCGAAAUCAUUCAAGUUUUAGAGCUUGUGAAGAAGAUAAAUAUUUUUGAAGAUCAUUUGUAUCGAAUUCUGAACAUGCAGAAUCAGAGAUGAUCAAUGAGAUUUUGUUUUUAUGAAAAUAGAAUUGGCCACACAGUAUCAAACCCAUUAUAGCAAAGGUUAAAUUCACCCCAACGAAGGGACGUCCCGGAGAGAGAGAGAGAGAGAGAGAGAGAGAGAAAAUGUGGUUGUUCAGCAGAGAAGCAACUACUCGGCUGCUCACUAUUCCAUUGUAACAGGUGGGUGUGUGGUUCUGCAUAGCAUGGGUCAUGUACAUCUCAAAGGUCAUUUAGUCUAUUUAUAUUGCACCUGCAAAGACAUUGGGAGCAUGUCAACUGCUGCAAUUGUGGUCAUCUUUUGGGUCUUGUUCUAUUGUCAUGUUGGUGAUUCCAAUUUUGAUUUUGUAUAGCUUUCAUUGGUCUUGGCAAUAAUAUUUGCACAUGGAAACAAAAAUAUGAACAAAACUGCUCACUACUCCAUACCUAGUUUGAAAACAUUUGUGUUUAUUUGAGAUUUCAUGGUCCCUUGAAUUUACCUUACUCUGUUGAUGAUCUUUCCAUGCCUAUUAAUCUGCGACAACAAGGAAUUUCUUGCUCUGUUGCAUUUUUAAAUUGAGGCAAUUGUCCAGUACUUUGUGUAUUACUGUACGAAUUGUUCGGAGCACUGGUUUUUACUUGAGAUUUAGGUUCUUAGAAUUGAAAUGAUUGCUUUCAGUUUGGACUUCAUCCCUUGAAGAUACAUUUUUGUGUGAACUUCCCUUUCCUAUUUGCGGAUGACUGAUUUUUGUUUAUGGAGUAUAAUCUCGAUCGUGACUGGUGUUUAAAAUGGGUCCUUGAUUUAUAUUGUCAACAAGCAGGUCAACACAUGAACUUUUCGGAUUUUGAAUUGUUUGUGAGUCCAAAUAUGGUGCAUGGUGAUGUUGAUUUACUUCAAAGGAUCUUCGGAGUUUGUUGUGUGGCUAAACUGGCAUUUACUUGGGGCCCGAUUUAGAUCUUACUAAAAGUAAGGGGAGUUUAUUGGAUCGAGCUCAAUCCAGGUUGAGACGUUGAGUAACCAGAAGGCACCCCUUUUAUCCUUUGCUUGUCACUUGAUUUUGGUUAAACAUGUGCUGUUGACUAUUUCAAGCUAUCAGUUUGGUUAACAGAUACUCAGCAUCUAAAAUUGACAAGAACUUUACUGUUAAACGCUACUGUUUCUUGUAAUUUUUAAGUCCGUACGUUUCUUGGAUAGUACAAAGCCAACCCAGCCUUGAACUCUACUUUCCUCCCCAAAAUCCUUCACCUUGUCUAUAAACCCCGGAUGAAGAAACCACUCAUUGAAGGAUUUGAAAGGCUUAGGACACCAAUCCGUCCCAUCCCCCUCCAACAAAAUAGGGCAGUGAUCAGAUAAACAUCUGGGAAGACCCCAUCGUUUUGAUUAAACCACUCAAGCCAUUCUGGAUGUAUCAAAAAUUCAACUGACCUGCAGCAUUUUUUUUUCCGCAACUGCUUGCCCCAAUCAUUUAUCCUUAUUCCACUCUAACCUGUACAGCCUAGGAAAGGUAUUGAUCAAUUGACUCCAUUCACCCAGGAGUGUCUCCAGAAGCUGAUUUUUAAACCAUCUCCAACUCUGAAAUUUGCAUUAUUGAAAACGGCACUGCAUAGAGCAUGAUCCUUGAAAAUGUCCAAGCACCGCUUUGAUUGAUGACUGACUGGUAACCCCUGUAUAUGGUAACCAACUCUCUUGAGAAAUUUUAUAUUUGUCACAGACCGUUCUUCUCAUCGUGAGUCUUUUUCAUUAGCAAAUUCCCACCACCAUUUCACCUGCCUCACCUUUCUAAUCCCCAACCCACCCUUCUCCUUCCUUUCGGUCAUAGAAUCCCAACUAAUUAAGUAGUAAGAAUUGAGUCGAAUAUGGGAGCUCAAGGGGAUAAGCCCUUAUCAUGGAAGUCACACUCUUUUGUUGGAUUCUUGAUGAAUUAGAAAUCUUUCAGGGGAAAAAAUAUAAAGCUCAUACGUGUGUUGUUAUCCCUCAGAAAAGAAAGAUGGACGCAGCGGUAAAAAUGAAGAAAACAGACAUGUGAUCAGGUCUUCAUUUCUUCUAUCAAUUUUCCAUCUGUGUAUCACCAUCGACUCUAGGAAAAAGCUAUAUAUGUGUAUAUAUUCAAUGGUGAUAAUGUUGGAUGUUUGUUUUAUGAAUAAUGUUGAUUAUCUAACCCCAGCGGUUGACACAGUUGUAGGCCCAUGGAAGCCAGGGACCCCAGAAAACAUUUGAUCUGGCUUCGCCCUCACCCACCCGUUAUUACUUCCUAUUGUUGGACCAGUCCAUAUGACACUUUGUUCCGACUUUAAUUUUCCUCUGCUUUCGCACAGAUUGAUAACCCUAUUAGUCGUUCUAUUGGGCCGGAUACCGAGUUUGUUGUAUCUAGCACUCCUUUACCUCUUGUGUUUUCUGCGGCCAAUGUAGCAUCUCUGAAUCUGUACUCAAGACAUUGCAAGAUUUUUUUUUUUUUUGUAUAUAGAGGCAAAGUACAAGUCAACUGAAAAGAUUUGAUCUUCUUUUGUUCCAUGCAUUUGCAAAGGAACAUAGGUGUGUUAAUGGACACAGGUACGGUUACGGUUUUCAGGUAGGUAUGUGUAUAUAGUGUAAAUUCAUCAAUUCCGAUAUCAAGGACAAAUAUAUACAAUAUAUUAAUCAAGUAAUUGUGUAA